GCCAGCAGCCGCGGUAAUACUCUAGGUGGCAAGCGUUGUCCGGAAUUAUUGGGCGUAAAGCGCGCGCAGGCGGUUUCUUAAGUCUGAUGUGAAAGCCCACGGCUCAACCGUGGAGGGUCAUUGGAAACUGGGAAACUUGAGUGCAGAAGAGGAGAGUGGAAUUCCACGUGUAGCGGUGAAAUGCGUAGAGAUGUGGAGGAACACCAGUGGCGAAGGCGACUCUCUGGUCUGUAACUGACGCUGAGGCGCGAAAGCGUGGGGAGCGAACAGGAUUAGAUACCCUGGUAGUCCACGCCGUAAACGAUGAGUGCUAAGUGUUAGAGGGUUUCCGCCCUUUAGUGCUGCAGCAAACGCAUUAAGCACUCCGCCUGGGGAGUACGGUCGCAAGACUGAAACUCAAAGGAAUUGACGGGGGCCCGCACAAGCGGUGGAGCAUGUGGUUUAAUUCGAAGCAACGCGAAGAACCUUACCAGGUCUUGACAUCCUUCGCUACUUCUAGAGAUAGAAGGUUCCCCUUCGGGGGACGAAGUGACAGGUGGUGCAUGGUUGUCGUCAGCUCGUGUCGUGAGAUGUUGGGGUUAAGUCCCGCAACGAGCGCAA
RNAcentral lists this ribosomal RNA (600 nucleotides) under uncultured Bacillus sp. RNAcentral describes it as "bacterial SSU rRNA". It matches the Rfam family "Bacterial small subunit ribosomal RNA", at positions 507 to 1101 of the family's 1533-position model. The record is from RNAcentral. Lineage: Bacteria; Bacillati; Bacillota; Bacilli; Caryophanales; Bacillaceae.